CACCAGCUAGGAGAUCUUAUCUCCAUAUUUGUCUUUUUGCUCAAUUUUUUACCGACCAGGAGAUUUUAUCUCCGCACUUAUCUUUUGGUUUGAUUUUUCAUCGAUCAGGAGAUCUUAUCUUUAUAUUUAUCUUUUUACUCGACUUUUUAUCGAUCAGAAGAUCUUAUCUCCAUAUUUAUCUUUUGGUCUGAUUUUUCAUCGAUUAGGAGAUCUUAUCUCCG
Molecule: long non-coding RNA, 221 nt
Filed under: Elaeis guineensis (African oil palm)
Lineage: Eukaryota; Viridiplantae; Streptophyta; Magnoliopsida; Arecales; Arecaceae
Description: long non-coding RNA (EGUI_LNC006648)
Source: RNAcentral